GCGCACCAGGCGAGAAACUUCACCAAUGUGCGAAAGCACGAUGAGGGAAUCCCAAGUGCUUGCACGUAAGUGUAAGCUGUUUCUCUGUCUAAAACGCAGAGAGAGUAAGGGCUGGGUAAGACGGGUGCCAGCCGCCGCGGUAAUACCUGCAGCUCGAGUGGUGACCGUUAUUAUUGGGCCUAAAACGUCCGUAAGCCGGUUUAAUAAAUGCCUGGGUAAAUCGGAACCGCUUAACGGUUCGAAUUCCGGGUAGACUGUUAAACUUGAGACCGGGAGAAGUUGGAGGUACUCC
RNAcentral lists this ribosomal RNA (292 nucleotides) under uncultured microorganism. Its description in RNAcentral is "partial 16S ribosomal RNA". It matches the Rfam family "Archaeal small subunit ribosomal RNA", at positions 330 to 621 of the family's 1478-position model. The record is from RNAcentral.